AAUGAACGUUGGCGGCGUGGAUUAGGCAUGCAAGUCGCACGAGAAACUAAUUAGCUUGCUAAGAGGUGGACAGUGGCGCAAGGGAGAGUAACGCGUGGUUACUUGCCCUCGAGACCGGGAUAGUGUCGGGAAACUGGCAGUAAUACCGGAUAACAUCUUCGGAUCAAAUGGUGUGAUUCCGCUCGAGGAUAGGACCGCGUACUAUUAGCUUGUUGGUGAGGUAAUGGCUCACCAAGGCUUCGAUGGUUACCGGGUGUGAGAGCAUGGCCCGGCUCACUGGGACUGAGACACUGCCCAGACACCUACGGGUGGCUGCAGUCGAGAAUCUUCGGCAAUGGACGAAAGUCUGACCGAGCGACGCCGCGUGCGGGAUGAAGGCCCUCGGGUUGUAAACCGCUGUCAGUAGUUAGGAAGUCCAUGAGGGUUAUCUCUCAUGGUUGACCGAUCUUCAGAGGAAGGACGGGCUAAGUUCGUGCCAGCAGCCGCGGUAAGACGAACCGUCCAAACGUUAUUCGGUAUCACUGGGCUUAAAGCGUGCGUAGGCGGCUUGGUAGGUGAGAUGUGAAAGCCCACGGCUCAACCGUGGAAUUGCGUUUCAAACCCCCAAGCUCGAGGAAGAUAGGGGUGAUGGGAACUUAUGGUGGAGCGGUGAAAUGCGUUGAUAUCAUAGGGAACACCGGUGGCGAAAGCGCAUCACUGGAUCUUUUCUGACGCUGAGGCACGAAAGCUAGGGUAGCGAACGGG
This 744-nucleotide ribosomal RNA is filed under the name uncultured bacterium. RNAcentral's name for it is "bacterial SSU rRNA". It matches the Rfam family "Bacterial small subunit ribosomal RNA", at positions 28 to 776 of the family's 1533-position model. The record is from RNAcentral.